AUGGCAGCUGGCUGGCUGCCGAUGGAGGGGCAGCAGGUUAACAGCGAUGAGACAGUCCUUCAUCCCUCCCUCCAUGUGGCUUUCCUUGCAUGUUUGUCUUUGUAUAUAUUGGCAAUCUCCUGGAGCAGUGACUCUCCUGACUGGACUAUCUUGGAAUUUAUAAACAACCCUCAAAAGAUGAAUUGUACUUGUGCAGACAUCUUUCUUUUCUCCAUAAACUACCUGUGCAAGUCUUGGAGAUCAGAGCAUGAGACUCUUCCUCCUGUCUGUCCCCAUCAUGGGUUCCCAUCACACCAUAGCACCA
This 304-nucleotide long non-coding RNA is filed under the name Chrysolophus pictus (golden pheasant). RNAcentral describes it as "lncRNA (ENSCPIG00010004014.1)". Lineage: Eukaryota; Metazoa; Chordata; Aves; Galliformes; Phasianidae. The record is from RNAcentral.